GAAGCCGAUCAAAUGGAAAAAAUCUGGAAGAAACAGAAAAAGAUUUUAGACUGAAGCAGAGGUUCACCUCGCCUUUUGAGGCAUGACUGGUCUGUCACAUGAAAGCCCGACAGAACACUCUGAAGUUUCACUGUGAAUGUUUCAAACACAAGUCAGAAAGUUGUGAAGGAGGAAGAACUCGGAUCAUUCCAGGAACAGAUUGACUCUGAGUUUGCAAAAAAAACCCCGAGAAAUGAGCCGAGAUGGAGAGCGGUAUAGUCCAAGUCAGGAUGAGACAACGAUGCAGUGAGUGUCCAGAUGUGGAUUGACACGGCAGACAUGGCGCCCUGAGGAGGGACAAGCUGCAGAGGGGUGAAAGGUCAGGAUGAUGGAGUCAAACAUCUUCCUGCUCGGUAGGUGAGGUUUGAAUCAAGGGAUGAAUACAAAUACACACCACACUUUUC
Molecule: long non-coding RNA, 443 nt
Organism: Poecilia latipinna (sailfin molly)
Lineage: Eukaryota; Metazoa; Chordata; Actinopteri; Cyprinodontiformes; Poeciliidae
Exons: 3
Source: RefSeq, a predicted model, not a curated record